GGAGGCCAUGAUUGUGAGAAGAAUGCGUUAAAAUCGGCUAUGGUGUAUGACGUGGCGGAUGACAAGUGGGUCCCACUGCCUGACAUGGCGAGUGAGCGCGAUGAGUGUAAGGGAGUCUUCCACCUUGGCAAGUUCCACGUCAUUGGCGGGUACCCCACCGAAUCGCAAGGCAGGUUCGGGAGGAGUGCGGAAGCGUUCGACGUUGCCACGUGGCAGUGGGACGAGGUUUGCGAGAAUUUCUUAGAAGCUGCCACGUGUCCAAGAUCAUACGUGGACAACGGAGAGGGAAAUGUGUACAAGUGGAGUUCCAGCUCAGGCGAGAUUAUGAUGACCAAUGACAGUGCCACGUGGCAAGUAGUUGCUGAGCUGCCAUCCGAGGUGUUAACUUCUACACACAUGACAGCGUGGCAAGAGAAGCUGAUGGUGAUUGGCUCACAUAGAUUUGGUGAGCCCC
Molecule: long non-coding RNA, 454 nt
Filed under: Daucus carota (carrot)
Lineage: Eukaryota; Viridiplantae; Streptophyta; Magnoliopsida; Apiales; Apiaceae
Description: long non-coding RNA (DCAR_LNC005327)
Source: RNAcentral